AAUCAUCAACCUACAAGCCUUUGCGGUUUUGUAGGCUUGGACUUGGAGGCUUGUCGGCCGUUCUUGGUCGGCUCCUCUUAAAUGCAUUAGCUUGGUUCCUUGCGGAUCGGCUCUCGGUGUGAUAAUGUCUACGCCGCGACCGUGAAGCGUUUGGCAAGCUUCUAACAGUCUCAGUUGGAGACAGCUUUAUGACCUCUGACCUCAAAUCAG
RNAcentral lists this ribosomal RNA (210 nucleotides) under Ganoderma tropicum. RNAcentral describes it as "partial internal transcribed spacer 2". The record is from RNAcentral. Lineage: Eukaryota; Fungi; Basidiomycota; Agaricomycetes; Polyporales; Polyporaceae.